AUUGAACGCUGGCGGAAUGCUUUACACAUGCAAGUCGAACGGCAGCACGGGGCAACCUGGUGGCGAGUGGCGAACGGGUGAGUAAUACAUCGGAACGUGCCCAAUCGUGGGGGAUAACGUAGCGAAAGUUACGCUAAUACCGCAUACGAUCUACGGAUGAAAGCGGGGGAUCGCAAGACCUCGCGCGAAUGGAGCGGCCGAUGUCAGAUUAGGUAGUUGGUGGGGUAAAGGCUCACCAAGCCGACGAUCUGUAGCUGGUCUGAGAGGACGACCAGCCACACUGGGACUGAGACACGGCCCAGACUCCUACGGGAGGCAGCAGUGGGGAAUUUUGGACAAUGGGCGCAAGCCUGAUCCAGCCAUUCCGCGUGCAGGAUGAAGGCCUUCGGGUUGUAAACUAGCUUUUGUACGGUAACGAAACGGUUCUCGUCUAAUACUAGGGGCGUAAU
Molecule: ribosomal RNA, 449 nt
Filed under: uncultured bacterium
Lineage: Bacteria
Description: bacterial SSU rRNA
Rfam family: Bacterial small subunit ribosomal RNA
Source: RNAcentral